GGUCCUGACUAGCUCAACUGGUAGAGCGUGGCAUAACGGUUAGGGGUUCGAUUCCCACUGGGACCA
This is a non-coding RNA of Merluccius polli (Benguela hake), 66 nucleotides long. NCBI's taxonomy places the organism in Eukaryota, Metazoa, Chordata, Actinopteri, Gadiformes, Merlucciidae. The record is from the annotation of a GenBank genome assembly.